GUUUGAUCCUGGCUCAGGAUGAACGCUGGCGGCGUGCCUAAUACAUGCAAGUCGAACGCUUUGUGGUUCAACUGAUUUGAAGAGCUUGCUCAGAUAUGACGAUGGACAUUGCAAAGAGUGGCGAACGGGUGAGUAACACGUGGGAAACCUACCUCUUAGCAGGGGAUAACAUUUGGAAACAGAUGCUAAUACCGUAUAACAAUGACAACCGCAUGGUUGUUAUUUAAAAGAUGGUUCUGCUAUCACUAAGAGAUGGUCCCGCGGUGCAUUAGCUAGUUGGUAAGGUAAUGGCUUACCAAGGCGAUGAUGCAUAGCCGAGUUGAGAGACUGAUCGGCCACAAUGGGACUGAGACACGGCCCAUACUCCUACGGGAGGCAGCAGUAGGGAAUCUUCCACAAUGGGCGAAAGCCUGAUGGAGCAACGCCGCGUGUGUGAUGAAGGGUUUCGGCUCGUAAAACACUGUUGUAAGAGAAGAAUGACAUUGAGAGUAACUGUUCAAUGUGUGACGGUAUCUUACCAGAAAGGAACGGCUAAAUACGUGCCAGCAGCCGCGGUAAUACGUAUGUUCCAAGCGUUAUCCGGAUUUAUUGGGCGUAAAGCGAGCGCAGACGGUUAUUUAAGUCUGAAGUGAAAGCCCUCAGCUCAACUGAGGAAUUGCUUUGGAAACUGGAUGACUUGAGUGCAGUAGAGGAAAGUGGAACUCCAUGUGUAGCGGUGAAAUGCGUAGAUAUAUGGAAGAACACCAGUGGCGAAGGCGGCUUUCUGGACUGUAACUGACGUUGAGGCUCGAAAGUGUGGGUAGCAAACAGGAUUAGAUACCCUGGUAGUCCACACCGUAAACGAUGAGUGCUAGGUGUUUGAGGGUUUCCGCCCUUAAGUGCCGCAGCUAACGCAUUAAGCACUCCGCCUGGGGAGUACGACCGCAAGGUUGAAACUCAAAGGAAUUGACGGGGACCCGCACAAGCGGUGGAGCAUGUGGUUUAAUUCGAAGCAACGCGAAGAACCUUACCAGGUCUUGACAUCCCUUGACAACUCCAGAGAUGGAGCGUUCCCUUCGGGGACAAGGUGACAGAUGGUGCAUGGUUGUCGUCAGCUCGUGUCGUGAGAUGUUGGGUUAAGUCCCGCAACGAGCGCAACCCUUAUUACUAGUUGCCAGCAUUCAGUUGGGCACUCUAGUGAGACUGCCGGUGACAAACCGGAGGAAGGUGGGGAUGACGUCAAAUCAUCAUGCCCCUUAUGACCUGGGCUACACACGUGCUACAAUGGCGUAUACAACGAGUUGCCAACCCGCGAGGGUGAGCUAAUCUCUUAAAGUACGUCUCAGUUCGGAUUGUAGGCUGCAACUCGCCUACAUGAAGUCGGAAUCGCUAGUAAUCGCGGAUCAGCACGCCGCGGUGAAUACGUUCCCGGGUCUUGUACACACCGCCCGUCACACCAUGAGAGUUUGUAACACCCAAAGCCGGUGGGGUAACCUUCGGGAGCCAGCCGUCUAAGGUGGGACAGAUGAUUAGGGUG
RNAcentral lists this ribosomal RNA (1516 nucleotides) under Weissella confusa. RNAcentral describes it as "bacterial SSU rRNA". It matches the Rfam family "Bacterial small subunit ribosomal RNA". Lineage: Bacteria; Bacillati; Bacillota; Bacilli; Lactobacillales; Lactobacillaceae. The record is from RNAcentral.